RNAcentral lists this ribosomal RNA (441 nucleotides) under uncultured Megasphaera sp. Its description in RNAcentral is "bacterial SSU rRNA". It matches the Rfam family "Bacterial small subunit ribosomal RNA", at positions 349 to 782 of the family's 1533-position model. Lineage: Bacteria; Bacillati; Bacillota; Negativicutes; Veillonellales; Veillonellaceae. The record is from RNAcentral.
CAGCAGUGGGGAAUCUUCCGCAAUGGACGAAAGUCUGACGGAGCAACGCCGCGUGAGUGAAGAAGGUCUUCGGAUUGUAAAACUCUGUUAUACGGGACGAAAAAGGCGGAUGCCAACAGUAUCCGUCCGUGACGGUACCGUAAGAGAAAGCCACGGCUAACUACGUGCCAGCAGCCGCGGUAAUACGUAGGUGGCAAGCGUUGUCCGGAAUUAUUGGGCGUAAAGGGCGCGCAGGCGGUUCGGUAAGUCUGUCUUAAAAGUGCGGGGCUUAACCCCGUGAGGGGACGGAAACUGUCGAACUUGAGUGUCGGAGAGGAAAGCGGAAUUCCUAGUGUAGCGGUGAAAUGCGUAGAUAUUAGGAGGAACACCGGUGGCGAAAGCGGCUUUCUGGACGACAACUGACGCUGAGGCGCGAAAGCGUGGGGAGCAAACAGGAUUAGA